AAAGAUAUAGAACUUUACAGAAUUGAUUAUCGUAGUCUUUGAGCGCCAUCUAGCGACGAAAUGUACAAAUAAAUUUGAACAAGACAUCCCUGAUAAUAGGCAACAAAUUUACACGUCAAUCAUGAGCGCAAUAAUCAGUCAAUUUUUGAAGAGCAACAAGCUAAACUACAAAAGAUCCAGGAGCUUACGAAUAUGUUAAAGGAUACUAAUGAAAACUUAACAAUAUGCGAGGAAAUACUGACAACUUACUUGAGGAAACGAUUGAAGAUUACCAUUUUUUGUACCAUCCACCAUGACCAUACCAACCUCCAUAACCACCGUACCACCAAGGCCAGCCAGGGUACCAACCACCAUACCAUCCACCACCCCACCCACCAUACCUAAAAAAUAGAAAUAUUAAAAAAAAGAAAUUAUAGAUUUGUUAUUCUAAUCGAGAAAGAAAUUCUCACCAAGGCCAACCGUAACCACCAUAACCACCGUAACCACCAUAACCACCUCCGUAUCCCCAAGGACCCCAACCAAAACUUCUCUUC
Molecule: long non-coding RNA, 533 nt
Organism: Vespula vulgaris
Lineage: Eukaryota; Metazoa; Arthropoda; Insecta; Hymenoptera; Vespidae
Exons: 4
Source: RefSeq, a predicted model, not a curated record